GCUUACGGCCAUACACCUGAACACGCCCGAUCUCGGAAGCUAAGCAGGGUCGGGCCUGGUUAGUACUUGGAUGGGAGACGCCUGGGAAUACCAGGUGCUGUAAGCU
RNAcentral lists this ribosomal RNA (106 nucleotides) under Labrus bergylta (ballan wrasse). The record is from RNAcentral. Lineage: Eukaryota; Metazoa; Chordata; Actinopteri; Labriformes; Labridae.